Molecule: unclassified non-coding RNA, 1856 nt
Filed under: Hevea brasiliensis (rubber tree)
Lineage: Eukaryota; Viridiplantae; Streptophyta; Magnoliopsida; Malpighiales; Euphorbiaceae
Source: RNAcentral
CAAAUUGGAAGGGAAGAAUCCCCUCGAAGAGCCAAAAAAGCUAAAGAAUGAGCAAAAAGGAUAUAAUAAUAAUAAUUUCAAUUUUUUAAUUAUCUUAAAAGAAGCAUACAAAUAAUCUCAAGUUCUACGAGUAAAUCAAACCAGCCAAGAGGUCGAUUCUCUCGGAUUUUCAAUUGAACCAGCCGGGUUGAGUUUGACAACCACGGUUUAUAUGCAUAAUUCCCAUCAGAAGAAUGCAUGCAUUUCACUUGUUUCAUCAUUCCAAAUAGCAAAAGAAUAUCUAAUCAAGGAUUUUAUUCGAAAACAACUCAAGCAGAAGAACUAGCAAUGCAUGCUGAAGGACCAAAUAUAUAGAAGGGAAUCAUUGACCAAGGAGGAGAUAAAUGAACCACAUGAAAUGCCUCAAAAACAUUUGCAUUAGCCAAAGGCCAAGAAAUGUAUAGCAUCUCAAACUAUAAUUUAAUGAAUCAACAGAAAAUCUAAUGAUCACUCAAUCCUGGAACGUGAACUAUAUCAAUUACAACAACAGAACCCCUUUUUGUCCUAAUCAUUCAUACAAGACAGCAGUUUAUGGAAUCCAGAAUUCCCUAUGAAUAUAACAAUGACACACGAGCACCCAACUAUUCAAGGUCAUGAUCUUCCAAUGCGGUCAAAAUCAUCCUACACAUACAAAAUAAAAGUUAAAACAAUCUCAAAACUAAUUAAUUUCGGUAAUGAAACAUAGCUGAUUGCAGCUCUGCAUCUUCACAUACCAGAAAAUUGACAGAAAGAGGAGAAAAAUGAGAUAGAAGAGUUUGAAAAGUCGCUGCUUCUUUUCCCAGUGAAGCAAGUUGAAUAUCUCAGUCACAUCUAUCAGAUGCUGUCUUCGUGUGUAACUGAUCAAUGACAGGAAGUUAGAAAAAGCAGACUAUCAUUUCAAUCAGAUGUAACCAGCAAAUUUCAAAGCCUAGCCAUGUUCAAGCAUCUACAUCAUUAAAAUGCACUGAAAUAAAUUUACAUGAAAUGGCUACAUAAUGUCUUGCAUAGUAUUAUCUUCAUUAGCUGGAUAAUAAAUUAUCUAUUAAUGUCAGGACCAUUCUCAAAUCCAUUCAACCUGUCAGAAGGAGGGAUCAGUGAUAUAUUCCUUUCUUACAUAUAUAAAUUUACAAUUUAUUACACUCUACAGUUUUGCGUCCCCCACUAGCCAUUGUUGGCCCUCCAACUUGGGCAGCAGCUCACUAUGGCAAUUGGCAACACAGAGACAAGCCCACUAAAAAUGUUAAAUAACACUAUAUGUGGUUUUACUUCCUUGAUGAGAGAAAUAAUGCACAUUGCCCUUGAUGCCCUCUGCAACUUACAAAGUAUCUAAAAUUUUGAGACGCACUGUAGUUUGGCUGAUCAUUGAGAUGACUCCGCUGAAUAGUGUAAAUAAGCAAAUUGUGGGAAGCUUCUUUCAAGAUAAAAGUUAUCCCAAAGCUCGAGAUACUCUCAAACAUCAAACCCCAAAGUGAAACUCACAAAAUGCUUAAAUAUUUAGGUCAUGCCUUCAAACCUUGAGUAUUAUGUCCAAGCAAGAAUCAUGGUAAUAAAGCAUCAAAAGGCUUCAACAGCAUUGGAUAUGCAAUUAUAUCAUUCAAAUAUAUUCCAGAAUAUUAGUGCACUUUUGUCCAACAAUCAAACAAAUUAUCAACACAACCAAAGCUUUAGUAGCAUAGAUAACAUAGAUUAAGCAGUAUUUGGUAAAAAAUCCCAUUGAAGCAUUUAUGAAAUUGAAAUGGUUACGCUUUUCUUUAAUAGGCAACAAGGAUUCUAUCUUAAUCCACUGUAGCCUCCUUUCCUCUUCAGAUCUACACGCCCUCCUCUCUCUCUCUCUCUCU